UUUGGAGCUUCAAUGGGGUGUUGUUAUAAGGAUGGUUCCUAGGCAUAUCUUUGAUGAUAUCGAGGUUGAUGACGAUGUUAGACCAUAUAUACAAAGUGUUCCUCUAAGACAAAACUUAUCUGAUGUUAUCGAAGUCUCAGAUACAUUAGUCAGGAGUGAUGGUGAUGUCCAUAUUAUAGAUGCCGGUAGACGAUGAGUUCAACAUCCGAGUAUAAAUGUU
Molecule: long non-coding RNA, 220 nt
Filed under: Elaeis guineensis (African oil palm)
Lineage: Eukaryota; Viridiplantae; Streptophyta; Magnoliopsida; Arecales; Arecaceae
Description: long non-coding RNA (EGUI_LNC023588)
Source: RNAcentral